AAGGAUAGGUCUAUAAAGCUCAUCCUAAAAGAGUUUGGGAUACUACUUUCUGAAAGGAUUACCAUGUAAUUGUGACCCGAUUUGCUGUCUUGAAAAAUGGUUUAACUAAGAUGAAGUAGUGGGAGGAAAGUUAAGCUCGAAGAGAUGUCUUUGAAGAGCAAUAAGCCUUAAGACCUUAAGAACUUACUCAUUAUGAGCCAGUAGACGUAUAUUCCUCCUCCAUGUCGUAUACAUAGUAGGAUCUCCAAUCCUCUCGAAAAGUACUUGGGUAUGCUUAACAGAGGAUGUAGAGAAAGUCAUUUUUCAUGAG
RNAcentral lists this long non-coding RNA (310 nucleotides) under Elaeis guineensis (African oil palm). RNAcentral describes it as "long non-coding RNA (EGUI_LNC072164)". Lineage: Eukaryota; Viridiplantae; Streptophyta; Magnoliopsida; Arecales; Arecaceae. The record is from RNAcentral.